RNAcentral lists this transfer RNA (73 nucleotides) under Lachnospiraceae bacterium. RNAcentral's name for it is "tRNA-Val". It matches the Rfam family "tRNA". Rfam says of the family: Transfer RNA (tRNA) molecules are approximately 80 nucleotides in length. Their secondary structure includes four short double-helical elements and three loops (D, anti-codon, and T loops). The record is from RNAcentral. RNAcentral also lists the same sequence under 1 other name. Lineage: Bacteria; Bacillati; Bacillota; Clostridia; Lachnospirales; Lachnospiraceae.
GGAGACAUAGCUCAGCCGGGAGAGCACUUGCAUCACACGCAAGGGGUCAGGGGUUCGAGCCCCCUUGCCUCCA